Molecule: long non-coding RNA, 1728 nt
Organism: Helianthus annuus (common sunflower)
Lineage: Eukaryota; Viridiplantae; Streptophyta; Magnoliopsida; Asterales; Asteraceae
Exons: 7
Source: RefSeq, a predicted model, not a curated record
UUACAUUUCUUCCAAAUAUAACCCCCAAAUCCAUUACUUCUUUGCCCUCAGGAAACCUAGACGUCCCUCACAAUCAAUCGGAAGAGUGAAUAUCAAGCACACAAAACGUCCAAUUUCAUUCAUGACUGAAAGAGCCUGCAUAACCCCCAUUAAAUAGUCCUCUCAAAUCCCCCCUGCAGGUCCAGGUUUCCGCGACAGUGACUACGCGCAGGUUCCCCACCUCACUAAGCCUCUUUAUUGAAGUUAAAAAAUUUCAAAGAUCCCAAUCAAAGAAAAUCAACAACCCCUUCAAAGAUCCCAAUCAGAUUAUUGAUGUAUGUUGUUUGAGUAAUUUUAGUGAUUUUUUGCAAGUUCUUCGUAUUCUGUUUAUAAUCAAUAGGCAUCUGGGUGUGUCAAGAAUUCCUUGCAUCAGUGGUUGUUGUAUCAAAGAUUCUACCUUCUCACCAACACAAACAACGAUAAUUCCUUUAAGCUUUCAUCAAUGGCGCUUCAACAUCUGCUGAUGUCAUAUAAACAAGAAAGAGGUUGAGCUAGAUAGAUACUGAUUCCUAAUGGCAGCAGUUUUACCCAACGCUAUUUAAUGGUUGCAAACCUAAGUACGGGACCGUCGGGUUGAUGACCAUAAAGAUGAUGUGGCAUAUGAUCGGAAACUCGAACGAAGAGAGGAAGAUCGUCAUAGGGAGAUACUACGUGAACGAGAACGUGAAAGAGAACGGGACCGCUCGCGUGAACACAACAGGAACAAGAACGGGAACAGGAGCGGGAACGAGACCGUAGGAAGGAACGUGAAAGACGGGAGAGGGAAAGAGAACGGAUGGGGGUACCCUACAUUAAUCAACAAUAGAUUAAAAAAAAUAGAAAAUAGCCAUCUGUCAAAAUAGAAAAUAGGUCGUUGUAGUUCAAGAAUCAAUUGUCCCUUUAUAGUUUGUAUUGACAAGCAUUUAUUCGUUUUCAGGUCGUGUACAUGCCUGGACCAAGUUUUUGGAUGUGCGGAAUUCAUUUGCUCAAUUUUAAGUCGAAACAUUGAUAACCAAGGUGUUCCAGGGAGUCCGGCCGGUGGGAGUCAUGAAAGCGGUUGUGAACACUCGAAUUCCAACAUCCGAGAGCAGGAUAGGAGCUAACAUAAGCCAUCAGUUUGUGAGUUCAUCAGUUUCGUCACAAGCGAGUACAUAUGUCUGUUUCAUCACCAGCGAGUAUGUGCAUAUGGAUAGAUAUAAUAACAUAAAAAAGACGGGCUUUGACUUAUUCAGUUGACUUAAACAUCUAACAUGGCUUGAAGUACUUAACUUUUGUCUGCUGGUUUUGGAUUCGUGUUGAAAAGAGUAAAGCCAAACACCGUGCUUGCCUGAAAAUGAUGAGGUGUUGGUUAUCAAAAGUUGGGCAUAAAAAUGGAAGGUCGAGGCACUAAAAAAGCCGGGGUAGUCAUCUACCUUUAAAAGCCUUCCUGGUACAUGCAUGGAAUCUUAACGAGCAUGAAGUUCUUCGCAGCUGCUCCUUUGCUCAUACCGUAGUCAUGGUUAAUAUCUUGCCAAAAAUCUUGUAUAAAUUGCAUUUGUACUCCGGUUCAUAAAAUGAUUUGAUUGGCUGCAAAUGGUCUCAACAACGAAUUAUAAAAAGUUGAAAACAUAUGGAUUAUGGAUUAGUCCGAAUGCAUUUGGGUGUUUGACCCAUGUGACACGUUUCUUUUUUUCUUUUGGGGUUUGUGGUCAAAAGUUACAAAUUAUUUUA